Molecule: long non-coding RNA, 4310 nt
Filed under: Podarcis lilfordi (Lilford's wall lizard)
Lineage: Eukaryota; Metazoa; Chordata; Lepidosauria; Squamata; Lacertidae
Source: RNAcentral
CAAAACAUGUACCCAGAAGUCUCUUCUCCCAGCACACAUCCUGUGAGCGACUUGAAUUGGCACAACUGGGCCUGUAUAACUCAAUGAACUGGGUUUAACAGCCUCACGAUACAGACAUGAUAGGAAUAUUGCUGACAUCUUUCCAGGACCCAACCAUAACCCCACUGUUGUUGUUACAUCAACUGCUACCAAUGACAGUACUGUACAAAGAGUUGUUCCCUCUGCCCAAACAACAGGGCAGUGAUGUCACACAAGGACACUUAUGGUGUGUGAAAGGACAAGUGGCCAGGGGGACCAUCAGAGGAAAGUGGAUACAAUCCCUUUCCCCCUCCCACCCCCACUCUGUCCACAACCUUUUCCUUGUUGUUAAUACUUUGAGAGAGGUGUUUUGCUGGAGGCAGCUAAGCUGUUGUGUCCUGUUCAGGGAGGCACCAUUGCUCAGGGGUAGAGCUCAUGCUUUUGCAUAGCCAAGUUCUCAAGUUCAAUCCCAGCCAUCUCCUGGUAGCUCUGGGAAAGUCCUUGUCUGAAACCCUGGAGGUCAGUUUAGAUCAGUGGUCCCCAACAUUUUUUUCGCCAUGCCCCACCUAAGCAUCUCUACAAUCCUGACACACACACCCCAGUGACAUAUAAUUAUUAUUGUUCAAAAAGUGAACUCUUAUUCACAUGGAGCAAGUCUAAAAGGCCUGUUAUGUACUAAGCUUAGAUCCUAGAACAAUAGGCAAGUAGGAUCCUAGAAUGCAACAACUGAUUCGCCUGCAGAAAAAGACCAAUCAGGCUCCAGGAGGGAAGCAGAAUCAAGCCAAUCAGACGGGACUCAUUGUGUACAUAAUGUAUAUAAAAGCCUGAGCUUUGGUGGGGCAAAUGAAUCACUGUUUUACAAACUGCAAUAAAGAGCAUGAAAUCACUACAGGACUCUGAGUAUAUUUCAAGGCCAUUAACUGUUAAUAACUCAUUCUAGAAUUACCCCCUUAAAAAUCAAAUUGUCCCCCUGUGGGGUGUGUUCCCCUCGAUGGGAACCAUGGAUUUAGACAAUACUGAGCUUGAUGGCCCUGAUGUUCUGAUUUGGCUUUGAGUAAAGCAGGUCCCUGUCUUCAUGUAUUUCUCUGUGUGCUUCAUCAGAGACUAUUUCAACAUAAGAGAACACUUUGUGAGAUAUUUUAAGUUUUUUAAAAACACUUUAGAAUAAAAUGGGUGACAGGUGACUAACAGGCCUUAAUUUAAAACCAACUAUUUAAAAUGGAAGGGGGUGAUUAUUACCAUUGUUGAGCUGAUAAAUGCAGCUUGCUUCAGCCUGUGCAAUCCUAGCAGUACAAUUGAAGUGGAAAUGUCUUCCGCUGGAAGAAACGGUAUGAAACCAUCAGCUUCUGAAGUCUGCCUUGCAAAGCAUGUGAAGUUUAGAUAAGCACGCUGGUUUUCAGAUGCUUAGCUAAGCGUGACCUUUAAUAGUUGGAAUUGCCAUAUUUCGUAUGGCGGGUAUUGCUCAGAUCCUUCCCUCUGCCAACAAGCUUUCAACUCACCUCAGAUAAGAAAGCAUCUUAAACGGCUCAUACUGAAAGGAAAGCAGACAGGUGCAGUGACAGCAGGACCCUUGUUUUUUGACAUUAUGUAGGUGGUAGAGGAGCUGUUUGCGACAGAUUGCAGGACGAGGAGGAAGUGACACAAACAUCCUGUUCUCAAUUUCACAGAAAGAGAAACAGAAAACAACAGCCGAGCUCAAUUUGUGAGCUCACAGUUGGUUUGCUCUCUCGGGCAUCAUCUACCUUUGACUCAUGCACAAGUGCUUGACAAUCUGUCUAUCUCUCAUAUCUGUACAAAAGCCAUACGAGUUCAUUCACGAUUAUUCCCAUUUUACAGAUGGGGAAUUUAAUCUGAGGAACACUGGCUACAAUUCAAGGGACUGGAAGUGGGACAAGGAAUGUCAUUUGUCUUCUGUCCAUGUCUGGAUGUACAAAACUCUGCAAGCAAAGCACACAAUAAGCAGUAUGAUAGAGAAGCCAAUGAGGCAGUUUGUUUACAAGAACUUCUGUUGCUCUGUUUUUCUGUCCACUAUCUAUGUUUGGAUAAUUCGAGGUGCUUUGUUGACUCAGAGCGAUUCACUUUGCUGCCACCUAACUGCAAAACCAGCUGCAAGUGAUGCCAAACAGUCUUUUCCAAGUAUACAACAGGUCUUAUAUUAAACUAGUUUUGAAAACUAUGUUUAAUCCUCUCAGCAGUUGAUUCUUUCUCUACUCGAUGCUCCUCACUCUGACUUUGUGGUAAACCCCUACUACUAUGUUGAGGAAAUGAUUAAUUAAAAGAGAGCGCCCAUUCAGUGUGAACUUCUGAGUAUAUAAGAAAAGACCACACGACCUAUUCACAGUUUAUUAAUCUAUAAAUAAGAUGAAUAUGGCAUGGAAAGUACAAAAAGUGAUGCAGCAAGGGACUUAAAACUGAGCAGUCUCAGCUUGGCUAAGGUAAAUCUCUGAAGCAAACAAAAUAUACACAGUAACUAAAUGCAAAAAGAUUACAUCAGUUGAAUAUGACAGAAGAACACAGCCAGCAAUACAAAGUGGUUUUUUAUCUGUAUUUUUAUCUUUUUGUUUUUAUAUUGUUUUAAUUCUACUAUAUUUAAAUUACUUUUUAACUAUUAUUAACUAUUAAUUACUUUUUAACUAUUUAUAACUAUAUGUUUUUGGGAAAAGAGGGAUAUAAAUAAAUACAACAGCAGCAGCAGCAACAACAACAACAACAACAACAACAAAUAUUCAUCUAGAUUCUGUUUCUCAGCUUUCCAUAGGUAUCUGGUUGGCCACUGUGGAAACAGGUUGUGGAGAUAGAUGGGCCUUGAUUUGCUGAAGCAAGACAUUUCUUAUGCACUUGGGUGAUAGAUGCUGCACAGGGAAGUUGGUCAUUUAUUCAGACUUACAGCUGUCUUCUCAUCUGUAAAUGUUGGCAGGUGAUUCAGCACAGGCAAAAGGAAGUACUUGGAAAUUACUUUAAUGAGCCUUACUUCUGCACAGAUAUGGCUAGGAUUGCAACCUUAACCGCUAUAGGCUACACCAGCUUUCUAGGAAUUUUGUUUGUUGUUUUUGUCAAAGCAUAAAUUGUGAAGCAUCAUGCAAUUUAGGACCAAACUCUGGGGUCUAUUUUGGGGUGCGUCUUUUAAAAAUGAUGGUGGCAGAAAAUGUUUUUUGUAAAAAAAAGCUAUAAUUGUUCUGUAAAAGAAAAAGCAAUAUGGUUGACAAUAAGUUUGCUUACAUCUGAUUUUGUGUUGCCAUACCCCUGAAAUGCCACCCGGAGCACUAUUUGGUGGAAAGGUGGGACAGAAAUUCAACGAGUGAAUAGAUAAACUUCAAAGCAGUGCAUAAUCAACAACUGUUAACUAAGUUCCAAUUGAAAGUCCCAAUUGGUAAAAGGAAUUCUGCAGACCUAGGGACACAGGUAGCGCUGUGGGUUAAACCACAGAGCCUAGGACUUGCUGAUCAGAAGGUUGGCGGUUUGAAUCCCCACGACGGGGUGAGCUCCUGUUCCUCGGUCCCAGCUUCUGCCAACCUAGCAGUUCAAAAGCACGUCAAAGUGCAAGUAGAUAAAUAGGUACCGCUCCGGCAGGAAGGUAAAAGGUGUUUCUGUGCACUGCUCUGGUUCUCCAGAAGCGGCUUAGUCAUGCUGGCCACAUGACCCGGAAGCUGUCUGCGGACAAACGCCGGCUCCCUCGGCCAAUAAAGCGAGAUGAGUGCCGCAACCCCAGAGUCGGCCACGACUGGACCUAAUGGUCAGGGGUCCCUUUACCUUUACCUUAUUCUGCAGACCUAAAGAGGUUUGCUCAAGUAUACAGUUUUGCAGGUCCACAUUGACAGAAUUAAAGGUGAACAUGUAACAAAGCUGCAAAAUCUAAGCAUCUUCAGAAAGCUAUCAUAGUCCUUGCGUUUAGCACUGCCUGGUAAAGUACUCAGCCCAGUCUAGCUUCGUGCAGUCUUGCAAUUUAAGGGGAGUUAGAACAAAAAAGGGACACGGGAGGCAUUGUGGUCUAAACCACUGAGCCUCUUGGACUUGCCAAUCAGAAGGUUGGCAGUUUGAAUCCCUGCACCGAGGUGAGCUCCCCUUGCUCGGUCCCAGCUCCUGUCAACCUACCAGUUCGAAAGCACCCCCCCCCCCAAAAAAGUGCAAGCAGAUAAAUAGGUACCACUCCAGUGGGAAGGUAAACAGCGUUCCAUGUGCUGCUCUGGCUUUGCCGGAAGUGGCUUAGUCAUGCUGGCCACAUGACCCGGAAAAACUGUCUGUGGAAGCGGACAAACACUGGCUCCCUCUGCCUGUAAAGUGAGAUGAGCGCU